This is a long non-coding RNA of Poecilia latipinna (sailfin molly), 195 nucleotides long. RefSeq lists it as uncharacterized. The transcript has 3 exons. Lineage: Eukaryota; Metazoa; Chordata; Actinopteri; Cyprinodontiformes; Poeciliidae. The record is from RefSeq and is a predicted model, not a curated record.
CAGCAUCCAAAGACCAACACUACAGCCUCUUCUCUUGUCUUUGAGAAAACCUACUGAAGGUAAAAUCACUGCAGCCAUGCUGAAGGUAGCACUUGUUCUUGGAUGCCUCCUGAGCCUCAUUGUGGCUGAACCUAUGGAGCACCAGCGUUUUGCUCGCUCAAGCUCUGGUUCUGGUUCUGACUCAGAUGAGGUGAG